RNAcentral lists this ribosomal RNA (110 nucleotides) under Sinocyclocheilus grahami. Lineage: Eukaryota; Metazoa; Chordata; Actinopteri; Cypriniformes; Cyprinidae. The record is from RNAcentral.
UCCACAGCCAUAUCACCCUGCAGCCCAAGACUGGUUGCCCACUGAAGCUGGUUGAGCCUGGUCAGUACCUGGAUAGGAGACCUCCUGGGAAAACUAGGUUGCUGCUGGAA